RNAcentral lists this ribosomal RNA (492 nucleotides) under uncultured bacterium. RNAcentral's name for it is "partial 16S ribosomal RNA". It matches the Rfam family "Bacterial small subunit ribosomal RNA", at positions 29 to 507 of the family's 1533-position model. The record is from RNAcentral.
AGUGAACGCUGGCGGUAGGCCUAACACAUGCAAGUCGAACGGCAGCACAGUAAGAGCUUGCUCUUACGGGUGGCGAGUGGCGGACGGGUGAGGAAUACAUCGGAAUCUACUUUUUCGUGGGGGAUAACGUAGGGAAACUUACGCUAAUACCGCAUACGACCUACGGGUGAAAGCAGGGGAGCUUCGGACCUUGCGCGAUUGAAUGAGCCGAUGUCGGAUUAGCUAGUUGGCGGGGUAAAGGCCCACCAAGGCGACGAUCCGUAGCUGGUCUGAGAGGAUGAUCAGCCACACGGGAACUGAGACACGGUCCAGACUCCUACGGGAGGCAGCAGUGGGGAAUAUUGGACAAAGGGCGCAAGCCUGAUCCAGCCAUACCGCGUGGGUGAAGAAGGCCUUCGGGUUGUAAAGCCCUUUUGUUGGGAAAGAAAAGCAGCAGGUUAAUACCCCGCUGUUCUGACGGUACCCAAAGAAUAAGCACCGGCUAACUUCGUG